GCCAGGUGGGGUGGCGCGUGCCUGUAGUCCCAGCUACUCGGGAGGCUGAGGUGGGAGGAUUGCUUGAGCCCAGGAGUUCUGGGCUGUAGUAUGCUAUGCCGAUCGGGUGUCCACACUAAGUUCAGCAUAAAAAUACGAUGAACUCCCGGGAGCGGGAGACCACCAGGUUGCCUAAGGAGGGGUGAACCGGCCCAGGUCGGAAACGAGCAGGUCAAAACUUCCAUGCUGAUCAGUAGUGGGAUCGCGCCUGUGAAUAGCCACUGUACUCCAGCCAGGGCAAUAUAGCAAGACCCAUCUCUA
Unclassified non-coding RNA from Callithrix jacchus (white-tufted-ear marmoset), 300 nucleotides. It matches the Rfam family "Metazoan signal recognition particle RNA". From Rfam's summary of the family: The signal recognition particle (SRP) is a universally conserved ribonucleoprotein. It is involved in the co-translational targeting of proteins to membranes. Lineage: Eukaryota; Metazoa; Chordata; Mammalia; Primates; Cebidae. The record is from Ensembl.